This 296-nucleotide unclassified non-coding RNA is filed under the name Hevea brasiliensis (rubber tree). Lineage: Eukaryota; Viridiplantae; Streptophyta; Magnoliopsida; Malpighiales; Euphorbiaceae. The record is from RNAcentral.
GCAGCAGCAGCAGCAACAGCAACAUUUUGCGAAGCAAACAUUGCAGCAAGCACAGUUACUCUUCCCUUACAUGCAGCAAGUUUCCCAUUCAAGUAGCACUGCAACUGUUUCACCUUCAAGUGGUUAUUAUCUUCCAAGGCGACGUCCUGAACAGCAAUCACAAUCGCAGGGCUCAGGUGGAACAUCCUCCAAUGGAAUGGUAUCCCUAUGCCACCCUGUUACACUUGGAGGCAGCAGCACUACCGAUCCUUCAAAAGCUGUUGCUGCUGCUGCUGCCGUGGCUAACAAUAUGAAAG